Molecule: long non-coding RNA, 2746 nt
Filed under: Actinidia chinensis (golden kiwifruit)
Lineage: Eukaryota; Viridiplantae; Streptophyta; Magnoliopsida; Ericales; Actinidiaceae
Description: long non-coding RNA (ACHI_LNC004522)
Source: RNAcentral
AUCCUCCUAAUACUAUCCGGUAGCCAAAUGACCCUUAAUGUCUAAGGAAGCCAGAAUUACAUACAACCAACCAUAAACAGAAUAGACUUGCAAAAUGCAAGGAAAAUAAGCGCCACCGAACACCCAACCUACACCUCGCUUGAUUCCCCCUCUUCUCUUAUUUUGCCUCGACUACAACCCUCGGACUCCCACACCUCAAACUGACAAAUUUUACCUCCUCUCCAAUACUCGCAAUAACCCACGUGCCUAUUACCUCUCAGCUCACAAAGAAUAUAAGCAACCGAUGAGGUUGCCUGGAGCAGCAAAGAGCAUACACUGCUUGACAUCAUUAAAAAUGGAUUUACAAGAUACGAGGGAGGAAAACAAAACCACCAAUCAUUCAUCCCACACCUCGUAUAAUAACCUUCACUACUGCCCCCACUCCACUAUUACGGACUCACAAAAACCCACAAAUCUUUUUGCCACUCCGGAAAAAAAAAAUCCUCACAGGAUUUUGAGAAAAGAGACUCAAAAACUCACACAAACACCUAACCAACAAUAUAUGAGGUCACUUCUCUAGCAUUCCAGACCCUUCAACCUGAAACAAGAGCAAGCAAAGACUAGCAAACAAAUUAGAAAUUAUAAAGAUUCCAGUUACCAAGAAAUCUCUCAUCGAGAGCCCAUUAAGGUUAAUCUGUUUCUAACAUCAUUCACAAUAGAGUUAAUUAACAUUCCCUCAGAGCAUUUGUUAUUCUGAAAAAUCCUCUCGUUUCUUUUCCUGCCACAAGAAAUAAACACUUAAGAGUGAAAAUCAAUUUAAUAAGCUUAGGCUAUAUUUGGAUCUAGGAUUUUGUGAGGGAAAACAAAAUAGAAAUGGAAAAGUUAGACGAUCCAACCGUUCGGGACAAUUGGAUCAUCUACUUUUUCCAUUUCCAUGUUCAUUUUCUUUUUCCUUACCAAAUCCUUGAUCCAAACACAGUCUUAGAGAAAUAGGAUUUACGUACCCUUGGUACAUGAGGAAAGAAAAGAAACCCAAUUAUGCCAGAGUCUAUUAGCCCAUGAAAAAACCACAUUUCCCUAAGGCUGUAAUUUACCCCCAAAAAAGAAGUCCAGCUGUGAAUCGUAGUCCUCAAGCUUCAGUUCGUAAUUGGAAGGAAGAGUUGAUUCAGGUGCAAUAACAAUUAUAAAUCAAAAAAAUGAAAACUUCAUAAAUCUCAAAAUGGAAGUUUAUCUUGAAAAAAAAAAAUAACAGAAAGAAAGCAAAAAAUACCAUGAAAUUGUCUCGUAAAAUAACCCAAUAUGAACACAUACCCAAAAGUAAUAAAAGAAAUGUCUUACAAACUAUAAAUGAUAAAAAUAAAAUAAAAUCUAACAAAUUGAAGAAUAUCAAAAACUUCAACAAUUUACAAUGCCAUAAACAAAAUAAAAAUAAUAUAAAAAUUACGCCUAGUCACCCAUUAAUGGGUGUCAGAGAGGGGGAAAUACAAAUAAUACACACAAUAAAAUAGAAUGUAUUAAGAAACAAUCAAAUAAAUCCUUAAAAAAUGACAAAACAGAAAAUAAAAAUAAAAAAUAAAGUAUUAGUUUAAUGGCAAUUGUAUAUAAACAAAGCUCAAUAAGUAAAUAGUUAGAUUGCCUAAUGAUCAACUAAUUCUUACUUCAAACAAUUACUCAUUAAUGAAAAGUAAACAUGGUCUAUACAGAAAACAAAUACAAGACCUUCCAAAUCAAACUUCUAAAAAAAAGAAAAAAAGAAUAAAACUAAGUACCCAAAAUAGUGCAAAAUUUUUUAGCCAAUCAACAAAAGAAACCAUUGUCUAGGAAAAUGAGCAAAAAAGUAAUAUGAAAAGUUUAUCAGUGAAACACUUGGUCUCCAUUUGGCAACCAUAAAUCCAAAAAAGGGAAAGUACAAAAAAAAAAACAGGGUUUGACCUGAGUAACAAAUUAAACUAUGUGGUUUUAAUUGUAACAAGUUAAACCCUAAAAUUUUGAUCUUAUUACAAUUAAAACCCUCCGCCUAUGCAUAACCCUUGGAAGGGAGCAAACCUCACGGGGGGAGAGAGAAACCAUAACAAACAUAUCAAAAAGUUCCAGCCUAUGCAUAAAGUAAAUGGAAAAGUUCACACAAAGGCCAUACAAUAAAUGUUGGAAAAACGUCCUACUUGAGUAACUCUAUAUAAGCAACCAGAUAGAAUUCAAGUUCCUACUUCGGGAUGUGGCAUCAAAAUUGACAUCACAUCGCGUGAACAACCUAUGCGCAAAGGAUGGUACCCAUACCUGGUCCACAUCAAGUUAUAAGGAAACAUAUAAGGUCUCUUCAAUUACCUCAUAGAUUAACUUGCACAAAGCUAUUCCUUUUCCACAAAGCAAUAUAUUGUUGACACAACUCCACCUAUGCAUCUCAAAGAAAUUCUAUAAUCUUUGUUUAUUAGCACUGGAGCAAAGAAAAAUAUAAAAACAAAGGCUUGGUUUGGUUUGGCUUGGUUAUGAACUUGAUGUCCUAAAGACAAGCACAUAUAGUACCAAAAUUACAAGACGAUUGGCUCCCAUGUUUACCAUUUCUACGAACCAAACAUUGGUAUAUAGGAAGAAAAUUAAUGUAGCUAGGUCCAGUAUUUAAAAAAUAUUUAUAAAAAUUUUACCUACACAACACCACAGGUGUUCUAGUCUCAUGAAUAACCGAGUCUCCAGUUAUUAUGGAAGAUCAAAAUUACAUAGAAUCAGACAACAUGAAGAACAUGUCAUCUCAUGAAUGUUCACCUGAUUC